This is a non-coding RNA of Podarcis lilfordi (Lilford's wall lizard), 124 nucleotides long. NCBI's taxonomy places the organism in Eukaryota, Metazoa, Chordata, Lepidosauria, Squamata, Lacertidae. The record is from the annotation of a GenBank genome assembly.
GGCUCGAUUCAGACACAAUGCCAAAUUUUAAUAUCUUUUGUAUUUGUAUUGUAAAAUUCUAAAUUGUGAACAAUACAAAUACAAAAGAUAGUAUUAAAAUUUGGCAUUGUGUCUGAAUUGAGCC